CCUACGGGUGGCUGCAGUGAGGAAUAUUGGUCAAUGGCCGGAAGGCUGAACCAGCCAAGCCGCGUGAAGGACGAAGGUGCCAAGCAUUGUAAACUUCUUUUGUCAAGGGACAAAAUCAGGCUCGAGAGCCUGACCGAGGGUACUUGAAGAAAAAGCAUCGGCUAACUCCGUGCCAGCAGGCGCGGUAAUACAGAGGAUACGAGCGUUAUCCGGAUUUAUUGGGUUUAAGGGGUGCGUAGGCGGGCUGUUAAGUCAGCGGUAAAAGCACGGGGCUCAACCCCGGCGCGCCGUUGAAACUGGCGAUCUUGAGAUGGAGAGAGGUAAGCGGAAUGCCAAGUGAAGCGGUGAAAUGCGUAGAUAUAGGGCAGAACACCGAUGGCGAAGGCAGCAUACUGG
Molecule: ribosomal RNA, 396 nt
Filed under: uncultured bacterium
Lineage: Bacteria
Description: partial 16S ribosomal RNA
Rfam family: Bacterial small subunit ribosomal RNA
Source: RNAcentral